GCCUCUGUAGCUCAGUUGGUUAGAGCGCUGCACUGGAAUCGCAGGGCCGCAGGUUAGAUUCCUGCCAGGGACC
This 73-nucleotide transfer RNA is filed under the name Paramuricea clavata. It matches the Rfam family "tRNA". Rfam says of the family: Transfer RNA (tRNA) molecules are approximately 80 nucleotides in length. Their secondary structure includes four short double-helical elements and three loops (D, anti-codon, and T loops). Lineage: Eukaryota; Metazoa; Cnidaria; Anthozoa; Malacalcyonacea; Plexauridae. The record is from Rfam by way of RNAcentral.